AUACUUACCUGGCAGGGGAGAUACCAUGAUCACGAAAGUGGUUUUCCCAGGGCGAGGCUUAUCCAUUGCACUCCGGAUGUGCUGACCCCUGCGAUUUCCCCAAAUGUGGGAAACUCGACUGCACAAUUUGUGGUAGUGGGGGACUGCGUUCACGCGCUCCCCUG
Molecule: small nuclear RNA, 164 nt
Organism: Myotis lucifugus (little brown bat)
Lineage: Eukaryota; Metazoa; Chordata; Mammalia; Chiroptera; Vespertilionidae
Gene: U1
Rfam family: U1 spliceosomal RNA
About the family: U1 is a small nuclear RNA (snRNA) component of the spliceosome (involved in pre-mRNA splicing). Its 5' end forms complementary base pairs with the 5' splice junction, thus defining the 5' donor site of an intron.
Source: Ensembl